This 253-nucleotide ribosomal RNA is filed under the name uncultured bacterium. Its description in RNAcentral is "partial 16S ribosomal RNA". It matches the Rfam family "Bacterial small subunit ribosomal RNA", at positions 524 to 776 of the family's 1533-position model. The record is from RNAcentral.
UACGAAGGGGGCUAGCGUUGUUCGGAAUUACUGGGCGUAAAGCGCGCGCAGGCGGUUUCUCAAGUCAGUGGUGAAAGCCCGGAGCUCAACUCCGGAACUGCCAUUGAAACUGUGAAACUUGAGGACGAGAGAGGUGAGUGGAAUUCCCAGUGUAGAGGUGAAAUUCGUAGAUAUCGGGAGGAACACCAGUGGCGAAGGCGGCGAUCUGGGAAGAUACUGACGCUGAGGAGCGAAAGCCAGGGGAGCAAACGGG